This 72-nucleotide transfer RNA is filed under the name Ictidomys tridecemlineatus (thirteen-lined ground squirrel). RNAcentral's name for it is "Spermophilus tridecemlineatus (thirteen-lined ground squirrel) tRNA". It matches the Rfam family "tRNA". From Rfam's summary of the family: Transfer RNA (tRNA) molecules are approximately 80 nucleotides in length. Their secondary structure includes four short double-helical elements and three loops (D, anti-codon, and T loops). The record is from Rfam by way of RNAcentral. Lineage: Eukaryota; Metazoa; Chordata; Mammalia; Rodentia; Sciuridae.
GGGGGUGCAGCUCAGUGGUAGAGCACAUGUUUAGCAUGUAUGAGACCCUAGGCUCAAUUCCCAGCACUUGCA